RNAcentral lists this ribosomal RNA (465 nucleotides) under uncultured bacterium. RNAcentral describes it as "partial 16S ribosomal RNA". It matches the Rfam family "Bacterial small subunit ribosomal RNA", at positions 338 to 795 of the family's 1533-position model. The record is from RNAcentral.
CCUACGGGAGGCUGCAGUAGGGAAUCUUCCACAAUGGGCGAAAGCCUGAUGGAGCAACGCCGCGUGGGUGAAGAAGGUCUUCGGAUCGUAAAACCCUGUUGUUAGAGAAGAAAGUGCGUGAGAGUAACUGUUCACGUUUCGACGGUAUCUAACCAGAAAGCCACGGCUAACUACGUGCCAGCAGCCGCGGUAAUACGUAGGUGGCAAGCGUUAUCCGGAUUUAUUGGGCGUAAGGGGAACGCAGGCGGUCUUGUAAGUCUGAUGUGAAAGCCUUCGGCUUAACCGGAGUAGUGCAUUGGAAACUGGGAGGCUUGAGUGCAGGAGAGGAGAGUGGAACUCCAUGUGUAGCGGUGAAAUGCGUAGAUAUAUGGAAGAACACCAGUGGCGAAAGCGGCUCUCUGGUCUGUAACUGACGCUGAGGUUCGAAAGCGUGGGUAGCAAACAGGAUUAGAUACCCUUGUAGUC